This 253-nucleotide ribosomal RNA is filed under the name uncultured bacterium. RNAcentral's name for it is "partial 16S ribosomal RNA". It matches the Rfam family "Bacterial small subunit ribosomal RNA", at positions 524 to 776 of the family's 1533-position model. The record is from RNAcentral.
UACGAAGGGUGCAAGCGUUAAUCGGAAUUACUGGGCGUAAAGCGUGCGUAGGUGGUCUUUUAAGUCCGUUGUGAAAGCCCUGGGCUCAACCUGGGAACGGCAGUGGAUACUGGAAGGCUGGAGUACGGUAGAGGAGGGUGGAAUUCCCGGUGUAGCGGUGAAAUGCGUAGAGAUCGGGAGGAACAGCAGUGGCGAAGGCGGCCCUCUGGACCAGUACUGACGCUGAGGCACGAAAGCGUGGGGAGCAAACAGG